Molecule: long non-coding RNA, 5152 nt
Filed under: Coffea arabica (coffee)
Lineage: Eukaryota; Viridiplantae; Streptophyta; Magnoliopsida; Gentianales; Rubiaceae
Description: long non-coding RNA (CARA_LNC005590)
Source: RNAcentral
UACCAAGUUUGGAAAGUACAAUUACAUUCAUUUCUGUCUCAACCAUCCAUACAACCCCAAAUACAUCAAAAAGAUUGGAGUUCUAAAUACAUUCAACCCUAAUCGAACGACUAGUGCGAGUACAAUAUCAAAAUUUUCAAAAAACUAGACUAUGCUAGUCUGUACAAGUCUCACGCCCUCGCUCAUAUCCCCUAUAAGGAAAAUAAAUGGCAUGGAAUGAGUUAAAAGUUCAGCGAGGUUCGAAAUAGCAAGUGGACCAUUAUUUAAAAGUGCACGUAUCAAAGUAGCAAAGUAGCAAAGUAGCAAAAUCAAAAAAGUGAGCAAUAACAUUGCAAGUAGCAAAUCUCAAAAUGAGAAAUGUAAAAUUCUUUUUCUAAAAGAAACAAUAACACUACGAAUAACAAUCAAAGUAUAAGGAUACAGAUGGCUCUCAGGAACCAAAUUCCCGUUGCUUCACCAGAGCUUGAUCCAUUAUUAGUUGACACUCCGUCAACUUUCAAGUAAAGUAACCAAUCUAGUAGUGUUUCACUUCACACUAAUUCAUCCACCAUUCAACCCUCUUACCAGGCUCGAACACCAACUAAACACUAGUGGUAAUACUCGAGUAUUCCGAUUAGUCGAGGAGAUAACACUCCACUCGACAACACUAGAUACCCAUGGUUCGUUAUCUAAUCGACCAAGCCCUUGCUGGCUCGAUUCGAUUAACUAACCAGUGGGGUUUGCGUCCCCAAGAAGUCGAUGAGACAACAUCUCCAAUCGACAGAAUCAAGAUAAAAGUACGGAGACGGGAAUAAGAGGUACCUCCCACUCGUAUUGAGUAUGGUACAUGCUGCCGCUCAGCAAUUACAAGUCAAGUCCAAGUAUAUCAAGUCAAUUGCAACAAUAAACAAAUAUAUAUCAUAUUAGGGCAAGUGCGAUAAAGUGCACUCUUGUCCGAUCAAACAAAUUACGUAUCAUUAAAUCACAUUGGUCAAGUAUUAAAAACAAGUGUCCAAUUCAAUCAGGUAUUUGGAAACACUCACCAAAGGUCUAGUACCUCUCAAAAGUCACGUUCAGGUCCAACUCCUUGGUUGAAGUCCAAAUUUGCGAUAAAAUAUCAUUUACGAAUGUAAAACUCUCUAGAGUUCGAAAUAUAGGAGUUUCGCUUCAAAAAAAUCAAGUAAAUGCAACUCGUUUAAAUAGUAUUCAAGAUACUUAUUAAAGUUCAAAAAAUUCAUGCUCGCUUGUUUAGUUAUGAUCAAGAAGUGGUUUCGAUUUUAGAAGUUACACUUGGUAUCAAAGACCGGGAAAAAUUGUAUUUUGAAAGGGUCUGUCGCGCCCCCAUUUUUUGAAAAAUCGAAAAAAAGAGUCAUUUUGAAAUCAUAAAUGUGUAGUGUGUGUGAAAUAUGUGAAGUGUGUGAAUGUGAGAAAUAAAAGAAAAGGCCAUGGGACUUUUAAAUGCGACGGUUUGGCCAAAAUGAUAAUCUAAAAAUGUUUUUUAGAAAAGUAGGAGUCGCCACUUAGUAUUGAGUUAGGGUGUACCAAGUCACCCAAAAAGUGGUUUUUGAAAAAUAAAGUAAAAACCUUUUUAGAUGACUCAUAAUCUACGAAAAUCAAAGAGACGAGUUCGGGGGUCACAGUUGAAGAGAGGGAAGGCAAAGACAAUGUCUAAGGUACCCUCUCAACCUAGCCUAAGUUAGUUGCAUGAUUUAGUCAUGAUUUUCCUAAUUUCGAAUCAAAAGAUGUAUCGUAUUUGGAUGUAACUAAUAUGGAUGCAAUCCUAAAGCUAAUGAUGAAUCGAGUGGGACAAAUAUCUCUUAGAGGCUCGAUUGGACUAAAUCACAUGAGUUGUGAUAGCCAAGGACAAGCCCUCCAAGAAAUCACGAAUAAUGCUAAUGACGAAAGAAUGAGUGGAAUGAAAGUAUGCAAUGUGAAAACAUGAGUUUGUGUGAAGUGAAAGUAAUAAAAGACAACAAUGUGUAAGUGGAAGUGUGCAAAUGGGUGUGCAAGGUGAGGUAUGUAAAGUGAUAGUGUGAAGUGUAUGUGUGCUCAGUGGUAGUAUAUAAAGUGCAAGUGGAAGAGUGCAAAUGUGCAAAAUAAGAGUCAUGUGAAGUGAACAUGUGGAAAAAGUAAUAGUAUAUGAAGUGAGAGUGCAAAGUGAUAGUGAGUAAAUGAAUAGUGUAAGGGUGCAUGUGUGCAAGUGAUAAAAUAUAAAGUGCGAGUGGUAGAGUGAAAAUGUGCAAAAUAAGAGUUGUGUGAAGUGGUAGGGGGUAAACGAAAUGCAUGAACCCUAGAGGAAAUGCAAGCGAAAUAGGUACGGGGAGACCUUAAAUAGUGACUUUAAUUUGCCUUUUGGUUAGAAAAAGAAUGAGCGUGCUAAGGCUAUAUGUAGCCACACUCGUCUGUUCCCCUUACCAGAAGGGUGACUCCCUAACCUAAUCAAGCAAAUGACCCUAAUAACUAGAAUGAAAUGGAAAAAACCAAAAAAUUGUGUUCAAAUACAGGAAAAGGAUAAAGGUUCAUGCAAAGAUGUAAAAAUACUAAAUAAAUGAAAAUGUAAUGAAGGCAUGCGAGUAUGUACUAGCGACAAGGGGACGGUUCUAUUGGGUCUAGCAUUGGACUAACCCUUUAUCUAUGAGUAUUCACUAGCAUUAGACUAGUGAGAAAUCGGAAAAGGAGGGUCUCGACUAGCGUUGGACUAGUGAGAAAAUGAGAAAAGGUACCACAACUAGCGUUGGACUAGUGUGAUGACGUCAUUUAUUUAUUUAGAAUCACAUAAAAACAUAAUAAAGCAGGUAAACACCUAAAUCACAUAUAGCACAUAGCACAUGAGCAUAAUAUCUAGAUGCAAGACCCUAAGAAAGCGGUAACACAUAGCACGUAAGCAUGCAAAUCACACAACACUCAAUAAAGCAAAUAAAGCCCUAACUAUUACAUUUGGGGAGCCUUACUACAAUCUAAGGGGGAAUGAAUUAAAUAAAAUGAUAUAAUAACCUAACUAUUACAAUUGUGGCAUUUAAUUGCCUUCUCAAAUAAUUACAAAUUAAAUUAAAAUAAAUGAACUAAAUUAAAACAAAUAAAAUGGCUAAAUAAAAUAAGUAAAAUAAAAAAAUUUUCAAAAGCAUGCAAUUACUCACAGAAAGUCACAUAAUUACACAUAGGGUCAAAUAAAGUCAAAAUAAGGGAUAGAAUGUACCUCCCUGGAGUUGGGGCCCAAAAUGAAAGAAAUUUACUUAUUUACCCUCCAAAAAUAAAGAAAGAGUCAAGGCAUCACUUUAAUUAACAAAUAAUCAUGAAAUUGAAUCAAUUAAAUCAUAUAAACAACCUACAUUCAAGAAAUUAAAGCAAGCGAGGACUUAAUUGCAAGAAUUAACAAUGUUUUGGGGGUCCAAUUACAAUUAUCACAAAGACUUGGGGUCAAAAUUAAAGAAAAAUAAAGUUUAGGGACCUAUUUACAAUUAAAUUAAGGGCCUAAUUGAAAGAAGCCUAAAGUUUUAAGGUCGUAGCAUAAUUAAGGAAAAGUCCGAGGACUGAUUUGUAACUUUGGUUUCCAGAUUCUUGGUAAGCCAAGCCAUUGGGCCAUUUUAUUCAUUUCUGGGCCAAAUCCCCUCUUAGCCCAACCGAAAAUCUUAAGAACACAAGCAAGCCAGCCUAUCUUUUUUACCCAAACAAGCCUGACGAAGAAGAGUGGGCUUCAACUCCCAAGCCCAUGCUAAAAUCCAUAAAAAUAAACCAAGACCCACUUCCUAAAACCCAACAAAAAGUGUUGGAUUUUAUCUUCCUAAACCCAAGUCUGAAACCCAAAUUAAACCCACUUUUACAAACCCAAACAAAUGUUAUUACCCACAACCUAAACCAUAAUCCUAAACCCAACAAGAUUAGCCAAUCAACUAAAAAUUAUUAAGACACAAUUAUGAUCUAAAUCCCAGAAUUAAACUACCCAACAAAGUCACAUGAAAUAUGCAAACAGAGGAUUAAACUUAAAAGGACAAAAUUAGUUUAAUUUUUCCAGAUUUUGGGCCACAAUGAAAUUAGGCAGAAAUGAAAGGGUUGGAAUAAAAAUUUCAGAAAAAAAUCCAUGCAUCUUCUUCGUAGCCUUCUGCAACUUUCGCAGACCCAACAAUAAACAUACCAACAUGGUUGCCAACGGUUUAGUUCAAUUUCAGCUCUAGCCACCCUCGAAAGGAAAUAAAACUCACGCAAACUCCUUUUCAUAUAAUCUCAUGACAUAAUUCGAAUUCAUGCCAAGGAACACCAAGCAAAAGAAAAACAGAACAGAAGCCAAACAAGCGGAUGCCAAACAAACUAUCCGAAUCAACUAUUUUGACAAGCAUGGACUGGCCGAACGUAUGCAAACAGAAAUCAACUCAUCAUUUCAAACCAAACUCUCAAUUUGGGUAUUUCAUCGAACAUCAACUGGGCAUCAAAAAAUUUCACUGAUUUUUGCUCAAUCGAUAUUAUAAUUAGCCUAAAAAUUAUCAGAAAUCCACAGAAAUUUAGCCCAAAUAGACACAGAAAAUAUGUACGAUCAAAGGCUAUGAACAAUUGACAUGAAAAUUGAAAUACCAACUUCACAAAAGAUAUAUUUUGACAGAAGAGUGAAAUGUAAAUGAAGAGGCUACCUUACUGUGGCCUCUCACGGUGAAGCCUUGCAAGUAAUGAUGGCCGAUUCCAGUGGUGGCAGUUUCGGCUCUUCCUCCGCCGUUUUCUUUGCUCCCUGAAAAACUGCCCCUCCAUUUCCAGAUCUUCCCCCUUUCUUGCUUUGCUUUUUCUGCUCUGUUUUCUUUUCUUCUGUUUUUAACUUCAACUCCUUGCUCUGUUUUCUUAUUAGCCGACUCAAAUUGACAGGCUUGGAGUUUGAAGGAAGCUUUGGAUUUAAUAGCGGUUUUCCCAACAGAAUUUUUUCAUCUUCGGUGUCGGCGUCGGUGUCAAGGGGUUGAAGAAUCAAUAUUGGGGGAAUGAACGGUCAUCGUCUUCCUCAUCUCUAUUUUUUCUCACCCGAAACUUCCCCAAGUUUCCAGAUUUCCUUUGCCGUUUCCCCCCCCCCAGAUUUUCCAAUUUCCCUCAGAUGUUUUUCCCCUCUCUUCGCCCUCUACUCUCUCCCUUGUUUUCCUUUUUCGUUUCUUUUUCCAGUCUUCAAUCUGUUUGCCACCCCUAUUGCCUUGCCUUCUGU